AAUGAACGCUGGCGGCGCGCCUAAUACAUGCAAGUCGAGCGAGAAGACGUAGCAAUACGUUUGUAAAGCGGCGAACGGGUGAGGAAUACAUGGGUAACCUACCCUAGAGUGGGGAAUAACUAGCCGAAAGGUUAGCUAAUACCGCGUACGCUCCUUGGACUCGGUUCAGGGAGGAAAGCGAUGCCGAGGGUAUCGCGCUCUUGGAUGGGCUCAUGUCCUAUCAGCUUGNGGUGAGGUAACGGCUCACCAAGGCUUCGACGGGUAGCUGGUCUGAGAGGACGAUCAGCCACACUGGCACUGCGACACGGGCCAGACUCCUACGGGAGCAGCAGUAAGGAAUAUUGCGCAAUGGGCGAAAGCCUGACGCAGCGACGCCG
This 377-nucleotide ribosomal RNA is filed under the name uncultured bacterium. RNAcentral's name for it is "bacterial SSU rRNA". It matches the Rfam family "Bacterial small subunit ribosomal RNA", at positions 29 to 399 of the family's 1533-position model. The record is from RNAcentral.